UGUGUUAGACCGGCAGGGCCGGAUAUCAAAUGGACCGGGAUUAAUCAGUCGGACUCUUCAUCUGGACGAAAACGCAGGGUCUUUGGCAGCCUACAGUAUAUCGGAAGAGUAAUUGAAGUUCAACUCUGGAACAAUUAUACUGUUGAUUGAAAAAUUUAUUGCUGUUGUCAUGUUUAUAUUAUAUAUAACUGAUUUACAUUUUGUGCAAAACACGAGCUUCAUUCUUUAUGGAAAAAAAUAUAAAAUACUGAAUACAAGCUAAACAAACAAUGUUUUCUUCUGCAUCUGAAUAUAAACUUUGGUCCAAACUGAGCCAAUGAACUUAUUCAUACAACAACGUUAUCAUUCUAAGCUUCAUUCGCAUCGACAUCGAGCAUAACCAGCUCUGCAGAUAAGUAAUGUUAAUUAAAGUACCACCACUUAAGAGCGCAAAAAAAAAAGGCAACAAUUUAUCAGAUGAUGCACGCAAUAAAGGAUUCAUCCCAACAAAACUUGGAAUUCAGGCAACUUUCCCAUGUUUUUCCGUACAUUCAGAAGACACCACUAAGUAGUUCUUUCUAAAGCGUCUUCUUCCAUGAAGUGAAUUCCAGAGGGAG
Molecule: long non-coding RNA, 596 nt
Filed under: Phoenix dactylifera (date palm)
Lineage: Eukaryota; Viridiplantae; Streptophyta; Magnoliopsida; Arecales; Arecaceae
Description: long non-coding RNA (PDAC_LNC015383)
Source: RNAcentral